MicroRNA precursor from Mesocricetus auratus (golden hamster), 86 nucleotides. Lineage: Eukaryota; Metazoa; Chordata; Mammalia; Rodentia; Cricetidae. The record is from Ensembl.
CCUCGCACAUAGCAGGUCCUCAAGAAGUAUUUGUUGAAAAAAUAAACAGAGCAACAAAUCUUAUUUGAGCACCUGUUAUGUGGAGG